Perognathus longimembris pacificus (Pacific pocket mouse) is the source of this 508-nucleotide long non-coding RNA. RefSeq lists it as uncharacterized. The record is from RefSeq and is a predicted model, not a curated record. Lineage: Eukaryota; Metazoa; Chordata; Mammalia; Rodentia; Heteromyidae. The transcript is spliced from 2 exons.
GUUUUGAGGGGAAUAAUGGAGAAAAAAGCUUUUAGAAACAUUAAUAAAAGGUUAGAAUCUUGUAGCUCUCAUUGUGUAGAGGCAGUGAAUGACUGACACUACUUGAAGGGGGCUUGGAUCUGUCUACUUUUUAUACAUGGUAUCAUCUCUGUUUUGUCUCAGUUUUUGUGACAUGCUUAAUAGUAUUAAAUGAAGUCUCAGUAGUUGUAGAAUUUUCAGAUUCUAAAAGAUACAAUGUAAUUUUUCAGUGACAUAGUCAUAGGUUAACAUCCCUUUGAAGACACCCUCAAGUAUAAUUACAGCUCACUCUGUAAUAAAAGACACAAAAUGCAAAAUCUCAGUCUUGCUCUAAAUCUCUUCAUGUGUUUUCCUAUGUAAUAAUAUUUAGGUAGUUUCACAGAUAAAGAAGUAUCAGAUGGGAUGGUCCAGUUGGCAGAGCACUAACCAGUGAGGAAAAGUGUUAGGUAGUACUAGGUUCAAGUCUGGAUUUCACACCUAAAAGGAAAAA